This 30-nucleotide non-coding RNA is filed under the name Mus musculus (house mouse). Lineage: Eukaryota; Metazoa; Chordata; Mammalia; Rodentia; Muridae. The record is from RNAcentral.
UGAGAAUGAAGUGCCUCAACACUGUAUCCU